RNAcentral lists this ribosomal RNA (253 nucleotides) under uncultured bacterium. RNAcentral describes it as "partial 16S ribosomal RNA". It matches the Rfam family "Bacterial small subunit ribosomal RNA", at positions 524 to 776 of the family's 1533-position model. The record is from RNAcentral.
UACGAAGGGGGCUAGCGUUGCUCGGAAUUACUGGGCGUAGAGGGCGCGUAGGCGGACAGUUCAGUUGGGGGUGAAAGCCCGGGGCUCAACCUCGGAAUUGCCUUCAAUACUGGCUGUCUUGAGUGUGAGAGAGGUGUGUGGAACUCCGAGUGUAGAGGUGAAAUUCGUAGAUAUUCGGAAGAACACCAGUGGCGAAGGCGACACACUGGCUCACUACUGACGCUGAGGCGCGAAAGCGUGGGGAGCAAACAGG